RNAcentral lists this ribosomal RNA (717 nucleotides) under Triticum aestivum (bread wheat). RNAcentral describes it as "partial small subunit ribosomal RNA". The record is from RNAcentral. Lineage: Eukaryota; Viridiplantae; Streptophyta; Magnoliopsida; Poales; Poaceae.
AUGUCAGAUGGGCCCAGCCUUGAACUUGGAGGUGUUUCUAUCCAAAGAAGACGAGACGUAAAUUUCCCUCCAGCCGCCCUGCCGAGUCACCCUAAGGAUUGGAAUUUCACCUGGUUCUACUUCAAACACACCUCUCCAGCAGAUGAAAAUCCACUACUGGGUUUCCGUCCCUACCGGCUCACCACCACCGCUCAACUUCAAGGCCGGCUUACUGCUACUGAACGCGCCGCCUUUGGCCCUACCUUUUCAGAGAUAAGGGCUCUAAUUGCGAAUGGAUUAAGCGGCAUCGAUCUGGUUCAUUGCUGGGUUGCAUGGAGGAUUAUGCCAUUGAGCCGGCGCCCCGGCUUAAUGUGCCAAUAUACUGGUGACCCAAAGGACUCACAGUGUUUCAACUCAAUACGCCUAGAGAACAAAGAGAUUAAUGAGUCUGUAAAAACAUUGCUUGACGAGUCUCUAGAAGAUUGCAGCAAAGUGGGACUAAACCCCUUUUGUACUCUUAACCCGACUCCUCCUGUAAGUGAUUUUAAUCCAUUCUUCAUUUCAUAUAUAUUUCAUGCGCAUCAUAUUUUUAUCUUCCUUGCUCAUAUCAAAACAAGCAGACUAUCCCUUUUGGAGGAAGAAACUGCCACCGGCCGCCCUAAUCAAGAAGCCCAAAACAAAAGCUCGAGGCACAGGUCGCCGCAAGAAACCCUCAGCCGAAGAACUUCUCAAGCUUGA